GGAUAAUUGGAAGAUAUUCCUCCCCACUUUGCUUCUCUUCAACAGUGCUCCUUGGGAGCCUUCUAUGUGCCAUGUUCCAUGCCAGGUGCUGGGAAUGCAGUAGAGAAAAACACAGAAAGAAAUCCCUGAUCUCACGGAGCAUAUGCUGUAGUGGGGACAGACAGACCGUAAACAUAAAAGAAGCAAAUUACACAGUGCCUGAGAAGCUGCUUCAAAGAACCCCCCCUUUUGCUUGGUGUUCUACAUCCAAAUACGAAGUUGCAACAGGCAGAAAGGCUGUUUGAAAAUCAGCUUAUUGGACCGGAGUCCAUAGCACAUAUUGGGGGUAAGUCUGAGCUGGGGCACCUUCCAGGCUGUCUGUUGUCUGAGGGGACAGGUUCUGUGGGAGCAGCCGCAGUGGCACACUGCCCCUGGACUGGGACCCUGCGC
Molecule: long non-coding RNA, 429 nt
Filed under: Aotus nancymaae (Ma's night monkey)
Lineage: Eukaryota; Metazoa; Chordata; Mammalia; Primates; Aotidae
Description: lncRNA (ENSANAG00000038626.1)
Source: RNAcentral